GACGAACGCUGGCGGCGUGCCUAAUACAUGCAAGUCGAACGAACCGCGACUAGGUGCUUGCACUUGGUCAAGGUGAGUGGCGAACGGGUGAGUAACACGUGGGUAACCUACCUCAUAGUGGGGGAUAACAGUCGGAAACGACUGCUAAUACCGCAUAGGACAUAGGAUCACAUGAUUCUGUGAGGAAAGGUGGCGCAAGCUAUCGCUACGAGAUGGACCCGCGGUGCAUUAGCUAGUUGGUAGGGUAAAGGCCUACCAAGGCGAUGAUGCAUAGCCGACCUGAGAGGGUGAUCGGCCACAUUGGGACUGAGACACGGCCCAAACUCCUACGGGAGGCAGCAGUAGGGAAUCUUCCGCAAUGGACGCAAGUCUGACGGAGCAACGCCGCGUGAGUGAAGAAGGUCUUCGGAUCGUAAAGCUCUGUUGUUAGAGAAGAACAGCGCAUAGAGUAACUGUUAUGCGUGUGACGGUAGCUAACCAGAAAGCCACGGCUAACUACGUG
RNAcentral lists this ribosomal RNA (502 nucleotides) under uncultured bacterium. RNAcentral describes it as "partial 16S ribosomal RNA". It matches the Rfam family "Bacterial small subunit ribosomal RNA", at positions 28 to 507 of the family's 1533-position model. The record is from RNAcentral.